UUUUUUUUUUUUUUUUUGAGACAGGGUCUCACUCUGCCACCCAGGCUGGAGUGCAGUGGCACCAUCUUGGCUCACUGCAACCUCCACCUCCUGAGCUCAAGCGCCUCCCACUUCAGUCUACCAAGUAGCUGGGACCACAGGCAUGCACCACCAUGCCCAGCUAAAUUUUGUAUUUUUUGUAGAGACAGGGUUUCACCAUUUUGCCCAGGCUGGUCUCAAACUCCUGGGCUCAAGCAAUCCUCCUGCCUCAGCCUGCCAAAGUGCUGGGAUUACAGGCAUGAGGCAUAGUGCCCAGCCCCAAGCAUAUUCUUAAGCCAUAGUGGAAAGAAUGACCCCAUGACUCCUGGGUUUCUUUGGACCCCUCUUUUUUCCUCCCUCCCACCCGAAAGGACUUUGUUCCAUUCAACCAAACGUCCAAAGAAACACAUGUACAGAGUGUAUACUGUAGUAGCACUGCCAAGCUAAAUGAAUUCAUUCCUUCUCUAGCUCUUACCUACGGGGAGUAGCAAGGACAUUUAGAAUUAGGAGAUUUUCAAGUUGUAUUCAGCCCAGAGAAGUGACAUGGCUGAAUUGAAAGUCCAUUUUAGCAGACAUGGGGCCAGUGCUGAAAUUGUGACUAGCCUCCUAGAAAUGUGACUACAACUAGGCAAAUUGAAGACAGUGCCACAUGCCUCUUUUGCCUUUGUCUAAAUUAGCGGUCCCCAACCUUUUUGGCACCAGGGACCGUUUUCAUGGAAGACAAUUUUUCCACAGAUGGAGGGGGGAUGGGGACGGUUUCGGGAUGAAACUGUCCCACCUCAGAGCAUCAGGCAUUAGCUAGAUUCUCGUAAGGAGUGUGCGACCUAGAUCCCUCACAUGCGCGGUUCACAAUAGGGUUCCUGCUCCUUACGAGAAUCUAAUGCUGCCACUGAUCUGACAAGAGGCAGAGCUCAGGUGGUAAUGCUUGCCUAGCCACCACUCACCUAAUGCUGUGUGGCCCAGUUCCUGACAGUAUUGGUCCAUGGCCUGGGGGUUGGGCAUCCCAGCUCUAAGUGACUCCUCUUUGAAGACAGUUCUGACCUAGGCUGGUCUAGCUCCUUGCUACUCCAUGCGACCCAUAGAUCAGCAGCAUCAGCAUUGCCCAGGAGCUUAUUUGAAAGGCAGAUCUCAGGCCCCAACCCAGACCUGCUGAUGCAGAAUCUGCAUUUCUAAUGAGAUGCCCAGUUAGUUUGUAUGCACAGUAAGAUUUGAGAGGCACCACUCUAGUCACUUACAUUAGAUUGUAUGCUCUCAGUUGUAACCUAAAGAAACUAUUUCACAACUGACCUGGUGCCACUGGCUGCUUGUUUUUGAGUGUAGUGAGACUGCUGUUUACCCACUUUACUGCCGCCACCAGUUGACUGAAGAACAUGGGUAUCAGUGGUGGAAAGGACUUACAGCCAAAAGCUAUGGUCCGCAUGUUUCUGCAAAUUCAUAUGUUGAAAUCCUAACCCCUAAGGUGAUAAUAUUAGGAGGGAGGCUUUGGGAGGUGAUUAGGUCAUGAGACC
This 1526-nucleotide long non-coding RNA is filed under the name Macaca fascicularis (crab-eating macaque). RNAcentral's name for it is "lncRNA (ENSMFAG00000063808.1)". Lineage: Eukaryota; Metazoa; Chordata; Mammalia; Primates; Cercopithecidae. The record is from RNAcentral.